CCUACGGGGAGCAGCAGUGAGGAAUAUUGGUCAAUGGACGCAAGUCUGAACCAGCCAUGCCGCGUGCAGGAAGACGGCUCUAUGAGUUGUAAACUGCUUUUGUACGAGGGUAAACGCAGAUACGCGUAUCUGUCUGAAAGUAUCGUACGAAUAAGGAUCGGCUAACUCCGUGCCAGCAGCCGCGGGAAUUCGGAGGAUUCAAAGGUUAUCCGGAUUUAUUGGGGUUAAAGGGUGCGUAGGCGGGCGGAUAAGUUAGAGGGGAAAUCCCGAGGCUCAAAUUCGGAAUUGCCUUUGAUACUGGUCGGCUUGAGAGUAGUUGAGGUAGGCGGAAGGUAUGGUGUAGCGGUGAAAUGCUUAGAGAUCAUACAGAACACCGAUUGCGAAGGCAGCUUACCAAGCUACUUCUGACGUUGAGGCACGAAAGCGUGGGGAGCAAACAGGAUUAGAUACCCUAGUAGUC
This 460-nucleotide ribosomal RNA is filed under the name uncultured bacterium. RNAcentral's name for it is "partial 16S ribosomal RNA". It matches the Rfam family "Bacterial small subunit ribosomal RNA", at positions 338 to 795 of the family's 1533-position model. The record is from RNAcentral.